AUACCUUUCUCGGCCUUUUGGCUAAGAUCAAGUGUAGUAUCUGUUCUUAUCAGUUUAAUAUCUGAUACGUGGGCCACCGGCUCACAUGAUAUUAAAUUAAUUUUUCUAGGGGGAGGUCUCACCACAGUAGCUUGCUACUGGAGUCCUCAAGCGUCGCCCAUGCGUUGCACUACUGCACGGGCCUGGCACGCCCCUA
Vitis vinifera (wine grape) is the source of this 196-nucleotide small nuclear RNA. It matches the Rfam family "U2 spliceosomal RNA". Rfam says of the family: U2 is a small nuclear RNA (snRNA) component of the spliceosome (involved in pre-mRNA splicing). Complementary binding between U2 snRNA (in an area lying towards the 5' end but 3' to hairpin I) and the branchpoint sequence (BPS) of the intron results the bulging out of an unpaired adenosine, on the BPS, which initiates a nucleophilic attack at the intronic 5' splice site, thus starting the first of two transesterification reactions that mediate splicing. NCBI's taxonomy places the organism in Eukaryota, Viridiplantae, Streptophyta, Magnoliopsida, Vitales, Vitaceae. The record is from Rfam.